UACAGAGGUCUCAACCGUUGUUCGGAUUCAUUGGGCGUAAAGGGUGCGUAGGCGGCGGGGUAAGUCAGGUGUGAAAUCUCGGGGCUUAACUCCGAAACUGCAUUCGAUACUGCCGUGCUUGAGGACUGGAGAGGAGACUGGAAUUUACGGUGUAGCGGUGAAAUGCGUAGAUAUCGUAAGGAAGACCAGUGGCGAAGGCGGGUCUCUGGACAGUUCCUGACGCUGAGGCACGAAGGUCAGGGGAGCAAACGGG
RNAcentral lists this ribosomal RNA (253 nucleotides) under uncultured bacterium. RNAcentral describes it as "partial 16S ribosomal RNA". It matches the Rfam family "Bacterial small subunit ribosomal RNA", at positions 524 to 776 of the family's 1533-position model. The record is from RNAcentral.